RNAcentral lists this ribosomal RNA (498 nucleotides) under uncultured bacterium. Its description in RNAcentral is "bacterial SSU rRNA". It matches the Rfam family "Bacterial small subunit ribosomal RNA", at positions 28 to 524 of the family's 1533-position model. The record is from RNAcentral.
GAUGAACGCUAGCGGCAGGCUUAACACAUGCAAGUCGAGGGGUAGAGGAAGCUUGCUUCCUUGAGACCGGCGCACGGUGCGUAACGCGUAUGCAAUCUACCUUAUACAGGGGGAUAGCCCAGAGAAAUUUGGAUUAAUACCCCAUAGUAUAAUUGAAUGGCAUCAUUUGAUUAUUAAAAGUUCCAACGGUAUAAGAUGAGCAUGCGUCCCAUUAGCUAGUUGGUGUGGUAACGGCACACCAAGGCGACGAUGGGUAGGGGUCCUGAGAGGGAGAUCCCCCACACUGGUACUGAGACACGGACCAGACUCCUACGGGAGGCAGCAGUGAGGAAUAUUGGGUCAAUGGGCGCAAGCCUGAACCAGCCAUGCCGCGUGCAGGAUGACGGUCCUAUGGAUUGUAAACUGCUUUUGUACAGGAAGAAACACUCCCUCGUGAGGGAGCUUGACGGUACUGUAAGAAUAAGGAUCGGCUAACUCCGUGCCAGCAGCCGCGGUAAU